CGGGCUAUGAGGAGCGGACAGAGAGGCACACGGAAGUCGACCUCGCAAAAUCCCAGGACUAUCGAGUCGUUCGAGCGGAACAACGACGUAUUUCGACGUCGUGCUGAGGCCCACCGAUGCACCGCGGCGCGUCUUAUGCAGCGACGGUAGCCCGCGCUCCUCCACCGGACGUAAUUUAGUAAAUACCCGUUCGCCUCUACGAGCCUGUAUUACGCACGUACACGAGGCCAAGCUGGCUCCAUAAAGCGCGAUGGACCCCACCCGAUGCGAGAGGCUCGAUCGAGCGUGUCCUGGCAUUAUUGCGAUCGUCGUGCCACGACGGACACGAUGCCCUCGCU
This 338-nucleotide unclassified non-coding RNA is filed under the name Bombus terrestris (buff-tailed bumblebee). Its description in RNAcentral is "misc RNA ENSBTSG00005033685.1". Lineage: Eukaryota; Metazoa; Arthropoda; Insecta; Hymenoptera; Apidae. The record is from RNAcentral.